GAAGCAUCUUCACUCAAUAGGUAUCCACGAAUUAGGUCAGGUCUUGACGGAAGCAGCCUUAAGUAAGGUAUUUAUGUGGGUGGAGAUGCUUCAUC
Molecule: signal recognition particle RNA, 95 nt
Filed under: Bacillota bacterium
Lineage: Bacteria; Bacillati; Bacillota
Description: signal recognition particle sRNA small type
Rfam family: Bacterial small signal recognition particle RNA
About the family: The signal recognition particle (SRP) is a universally conserved ribonucleoprotein involved in the co-translational targeting of proteins to membranes. Archaeal SRP consists of a 7S RNA and homologues of the eukaryotic SRP19 and SRP54 proteins. In most bacteria, the SRP consists of a 4.5S RNA and the Ffh protein (a homologue of the eukaryotic SRP54 protein).
Source: RNAcentral